Molecule: transfer RNA, 61 nt
Filed under: Camelus bactrianus (Bactrian camel)
Lineage: Eukaryota; Metazoa; Chordata; Mammalia; Artiodactyla; Camelidae
Also listed under: 2 other names
Rfam family: tRNA
About the family: Transfer RNA (tRNA) molecules are approximately 80 nucleotides in length. Their secondary structure includes four short double-helical elements and three loops (D, anti-codon, and T loops).
Source: Rfam by way of RNAcentral
UAUAGCUCAGUGGUAGAGCACAUGCUAAGCAUGUACAAGGUCCUGGGUUCAAUCCCCAGUA